RNAcentral lists this transfer RNA (77 nucleotides) under Microcoleus asticus IPMA8. RNAcentral's name for it is "tRNA-Leu". It matches the Rfam family "tRNA". Rfam says of the family: Transfer RNA (tRNA) molecules are approximately 80 nucleotides in length. Their secondary structure includes four short double-helical elements and three loops (D, anti-codon, and T loops). RNAcentral also lists the same sequence under 2 other names. The record is from RNAcentral. Lineage: Bacteria; Bacillati; Cyanobacteriota; Cyanophyceae; Oscillatoriales; Microcoleaceae.
ACUCCUGUAGCCCAAUUGGCAGAGGCCGCAGUUUCAAAAAUUGUGUUGUGUGAGUUCAAAUCUCACCAGGAGUACCA